RNAcentral lists this ribosomal RNA (490 nucleotides) under uncultured bacterium. RNAcentral's name for it is "partial 16S ribosomal RNA". It matches the Rfam family "Bacterial small subunit ribosomal RNA", at positions 29 to 507 of the family's 1533-position model. The record is from RNAcentral.
AAUGAACGCUGGCGGCAUGCCUUACACAUGCAAGUCGAACGGCAGCAUGACCUAGCUUGCUAGGUUGAUGGCGAGUGGCGAACGGGUGAGUAAUGCAUCGGAACGUGCCUUUUAGUGGGGGAUAACGUAGCGAAAGUUACGCUAAUACCGCAUAUUCUCUGAGGAGGAAAGCAGGGGACCUUCGGGCCUUGCGCUAGAAGAGCGGCCGAUGUCGGAUUAGCUAGUUGGUGAGGUAAAGGCUCACCAAGGCAACGAUCCGUAGCGGGUCUGAGAGGUUGAUCCGCCACACUGGGACUGAGACACGGCCCAGACUCCUACGGGAGGCAGCAGUGGGGAAUUUUGGACAAUGGGCGCAAGCCUGAUCCAGCCAUGCCGCGUGAGUGAAGAAGGCCUUCGGGUUGUAAAGCUCUUUCGGCUGGGAAGAAAUCGCACCCUCUAAUACAGGGUGUGGAUGACGGUACCAGCAUAAGAAGCACCGGCUAACUACGUG